Molecule: ribosomal RNA, 189 nt
Filed under: uncultured bacterium
Lineage: Bacteria
Description: partial 16S rRNA
Rfam family: Bacterial small subunit ribosomal RNA
Source: RNAcentral
CCUACGGGAGGCAGCAGUAAGGAAUAUUGGUCAAUGGAGGGAACUCUGAACCAGCCAUGCCGCGUGCAGGAAGACGGCCCUACGGGUUGUAAACUGCUUUUGCACGGGAAUAACCCUCAUUAUGUAUAAUGAGCUGAAUGUACCGUGAGAAUAAGGAUCGGCUAACUCCGUGCCAGCAGCCGCGGUAAU